This 402-nucleotide ribosomal RNA is filed under the name uncultured bacterium. RNAcentral describes it as "bacterial SSU rRNA". It matches the Rfam family "Bacterial small subunit ribosomal RNA", at positions 355 to 774 of the family's 1533-position model. The record is from RNAcentral.
UGGGGAAUCUUGCACAAUGGGGGCAACCCUGAUGCAGCGACGCCGCGUGAGCGAUGAAGCCCUUCGGGGCGUAAAGCUCUUUCGACCGGAACGAUAAUGACGGUACCGGGAGAAGAAGCUGCAGCUAACUACGUGCCAGCAGCCGCGGUAAUACGUAGGCAGCAAGCGUUGUUCGGAGUUACUGGGCGUAAAGAGUGCGUAGGCGGUUUUCUAAGUUCGGUGUGAAAUCUCCCGGCUUAACUGGGAGGGUGCGCCGAAGACUGGGAAGCUGGAGUGUGGGAAAGGCAGGCGGAAUUCCUGGUGUAGCGGUGAAAUGCGUAGAUAUCAGGAGGAACACCAGCGGUGUAGACGGCUUGCUAGACCAUAACUGACGCUGAGGCACGAAAGCGUGGGUAGCAAACA